This 807-nucleotide long non-coding RNA is filed under the name Homo sapiens (human). RNAcentral's name for it is "long non-coding RNA NONHSAT204199.1". Lineage: Eukaryota; Metazoa; Chordata; Mammalia; Primates; Hominidae. The record is from RNAcentral.
UGAUUCUGCCACUCUGAAACUUCACAACAUUUUUUUUUAUUAGGAAAUUUACAAACGCUGCCAUGGAAUGCCUCCCAACAUACACUCUGCAGACUCUUCCUGUCUUCGUGCUAGGAGGAAGAGAUGCCAACAGCGAAGAAGCAGUCUUGGACCUUUCAUCUUCAGAGAAUGUCACAAGGAACAGAGAUAAGCCACCCCUGCUGAGCCCUGCCCAAUCUGCAGAUUGGCACUGGGGAAACUCUUUUUCUCCUUACUCCUGGAGAUUCUGAUUUCACUGUGCGACCUGAUGGGGAGUUGCCAGGAGAAGGACUGCGUCGGCCUUUGGAAGCUGGUGAAGCCGCACUUGCCUGGACCUCUCCUGGAGACUCAGCUGCUAAGUGAUUCAUUUCAGAUCCAUCUCCUUUAACUGGGAUUGGUUUUACCACCUGAAUCAAAGUAUUCCAAUAUUUUGAUUACUUAAAAAUAUAAAAGGAAUACCCUUUGCCAUCUCAAUAUGGCUUCAAUGAAGAAUUUCCUACCACCAUUCUACGGCAGUUAGCUGCUCUCCCGCUGCAUAGUCAAUAGAGAUCAUACCACCUGAAAGAUAUGUUCCUAGGACUGGAUAGAUAAGAAGGUAACAAUGUUGACUAGCAACAUCUAGAAUAUGAAGACUGCUGUACAAGGCUGCUUCUGCUGGUAUUGAGGGAGAGAAGAAGCUCUAGCCAGAAGACAAAGGAGGCUUCAACUGUUUAAUAUUAGUUCCUUUAAAAAAUACACAUCCAACUGCACUGCAGCAAGUACAAUAAAAUAUUAACAUUUAUUAAAUAC